RNAcentral lists this ribosomal RNA (240 nucleotides) under uncultured Lactobacillus sp. Its description in RNAcentral is "partial 16S ribosomal RNA". It matches the Rfam family "Bacterial small subunit ribosomal RNA", at positions 122 to 354 of the family's 1533-position model. Lineage: Bacteria; Bacillati; Bacillota; Bacilli; Lactobacillales; Lactobacillaceae. The record is from RNAcentral.
UAACCUGCCCAAGAGAUCGGGAUAACACCUGGAAACAGAUGCUAAUACCGGAUAACAACAGAUGAUGCCUAUCAACUGUUUAAAAGAUGGUUCUGCUAUCACUAUUGGAUGGACCUGCGGUGCAUUAGCUAGUUGGUAGGGUAACGGCCUACCAAGGCGAUGAUGCAUAGCCGAGUUGAGAGACUGAUCGGCCACAUUGGGACUGAGACACGGCCCAAACUCCUACGGGAGGCAGCAGGG